Non-coding RNA from Rhamnusium bicolor, 73 nucleotides. Lineage: Eukaryota; Metazoa; Arthropoda; Insecta; Coleoptera; Cerambycidae. The record is from the annotation of a GenBank genome assembly.
GCUUCGUGGUCGAGUGGCAAAGACACUUGCCUAUCACCCUGGAGUCCGGGGUUUGAUCCCCAGUCGAGAAACU